GAUGAACGCUGGCGGCGUGCCUAAUACAUGCAAGUCGAGCGAACGGACGAGAAGCUUGCUUCUCUGAUGUUAGCGGCGGACGGGUGAGUAACACGUGGAUAACCUACCUAUAAGACUGGGAUAACUUCGGGAAACCGGAGCUAAUACCGGAUAAUAUUUUGAACCGCAUGGUUCAAAAGUGAAAGACGGUCUUGCUGUCACUUAUAGCUGGAUCCGCGCUGCAUUAGCUAGUUGGUAAGGUAACGGCUUACCAAGGCAACGAUGCAUAGCCGACCUGAGAGGGUGAUCGGCCACACUGGAACUGAGCCACGGUCCAGACUCCUACGGGAGGCAGCAGUAGGGAAUCUUCCGCAAUGGGCGAAAGCCUGACGGAGCAACGCCGCGUGAGUGAUGAAGGUCUUCGGAUCGUAAAACUCUGUUAUUAGGGAAGAACAUAUGUGUAAGUAACUGUGCACAUCUUGACGGUACCUAAUCAGAAAGCCACGGCUAACUACGUG
This 497-nucleotide ribosomal RNA is filed under the name uncultured bacterium. RNAcentral's name for it is "partial 16S ribosomal RNA". It matches the Rfam family "Bacterial small subunit ribosomal RNA", at positions 28 to 507 of the family's 1533-position model. The record is from RNAcentral.